RNAcentral lists this ribosomal RNA (1509 nucleotides) under human gut metagenome. Its description in RNAcentral is "bacterial LSU rRNA". It matches the Rfam family "Bacterial large subunit ribosomal RNA", at positions 470 to 1977 of the family's 2925-position model. The record is from RNAcentral.
AUACUCCCGAGAGACCGAUAGCGAACCAGUACUGUGAAGGAAAGGUGAAAAGCACCUCGAACAGAGGAGUGAAAUAGUCCCUGAAACCGUCUGCCUACAAGCGGUCGGAGCAACGUAAGUUGUGACGGCGUGCCUUUUGCAUAAUGAACCUACGAGUUACUUUCUCCGGCAAGGUUAAGGGCUUCAGGCCCGGAGCCGAAGCGAAAGCGAGUCUUAAUAGGGCGUGAUAGUCGGAGUGAGUAGACGCGAAACCAAGUGAUCUACCCUUGGUCAGGAUGAAGGUUGGGUAACACCAACUGGAGGUCCGAAUGGGUAUACGUUGAAAAGUGUUCCAAUGAACUGAGGGUAGGGGUGAAAGGCUAAUCAAACUUGGAGAUAGCUCGUACUCCCCGAAAUGCAUUUAGGUGCAGCCUUGUGAGUUACUAAUGUGAGGUAGAGCGACUGAUAAGAUGCGAGGGCUUCACCGCCUAUCAAGUCUUGACAAACUCCGAAUGCGUGUCAGUUCUAUGUCAGGAGUGAGGGCAUGGGUGCUAAGGUCCAUGUCCUAAAGGAGAACAAUCCGGACCAACAGCUAAGGUCCCGAAAUGAAUACUAAGUUGAACUAACGAAGUCAGAUUGCUAAGACAGCUAGGAUGUUGGCUUGGAAGCAGCCAUUCAUUUAAAGAGUGCGUAACAGCUCACUAGUCGAGGAGUCGGGCGUGGAUAAUAAUCGGGUAUCAAGUUGUCUACCGAAGCAGUGGGAUCAUUUAUAUGAUCGGUAGGGGAGCAUUCCAGUCAGCGUCGAAGGCGUACCGUGAGGUAUUCUGGAGCGUCUGGAAAAGCAAAUGUAGGUAUAAGUAACGAUAAAGGGGGCGGGAAACCCCCUCGCCGAAAGACUAAGGUUUCCUGAUCAACGCUAAUCGGAUCAGGGUCAGUCGGGUCCUAAGGCUCAGCCGAACGGCGAUGCCGAUGGCAGAAACGGUUAAUAUUCCGUUACUACCUUCAGGAGUGACGUGGAGACGCAGUAGUGACAGUGCCGCCAUCUGACGGAAUAGAUGGUUGAAGGGUGUAGGAGUCGAUCAUGGCAGGCAAAUCCACCAUGAGAUCCGAACCUGACAGUAUGCCGCGUCCUUCGGGACAAGGCAAUAGUGCGCGUAAGCAUGCUGCCGAGAAAAUCCGCUAAACUUAAUCCUGCAGGUACCCGUACCGCAAACGGACACACGUAGUCGGGUUGAAUAUACUAAGGCGCUUGAGUGAUUCACGGUUAAGGAACUAGGCAAAUUGACCCUGUAACUUCGGGAUAAAGGGUCCCUACCCGGUGACGGGAGGGCGCAGAGAAUAGGUCCAGGCAACUGUUUAACAAAAACACAGGGCUGUGCAAAAUUGAAAGAUCACGUAUACAGCCUGACACCUGCCCGGUGCUGGAAGGUUAAGAGGAGAUGUCAUCGCAAGAGAAGCAUUGAAUUGAAGCCCCAGUAAACGGCGGCCGUAACUAUAACGGUCCUAAGGUAGCGAAAUUCCUUGUCGGGU